This 442-nucleotide ribosomal RNA is filed under the name uncultured bacterium. RNAcentral describes it as "partial 16S ribosomal RNA". It matches the Rfam family "Bacterial small subunit ribosomal RNA", at positions 339 to 795 of the family's 1533-position model. The record is from RNAcentral.
CUACGGGUCGCAGCAGUGGGGAAUAUUGGGCAAUGGGCGCAAGCCUGACCCAGCAACGCCGCGUGAGGGAAGAAGGUUUUCGGAUUGUAAACCUCUGUCCUUGGGGACGAAGAAGUGACGGUACCCAAGGAGGAAGCUCCGGCUAACUACGUGCCAGCAGCCGCGGUAAUACGUAGGGAGCAAGCGGUUGUCCGGAAUUACUGGGCGUAAAGGGUGCGUAGGCGGCAGAUUAAGUCAGGGGGGAAAUACUCGGGCUCAACCCGGGGGCUGCAUUUGAAACUGAUAUGCUUGAGUGUGAGAGAGGAAAGUGGAAUUCCUAGUGUAGCGGUGGAAUGCGUAGAUAUUAGGAGGAACACCAGUGGCGAAGGCGACUUUCUGGCUCAUAACUGACGCUGAGGCACGAAAGCGUGGGGAGCAAACAGGAUUAGAUACCCCCGUAGUC